GCGAGGUUAUUCUAAUAUUCAAUAUUUUUCUUCUAUGUAAAAAAAAAAAAAAAAAAAAAUUUAAAAAGAUGGAGGUUGGGGUUGAAGAGGGGAGACCUACGGUGGUAAGAGCCCCCCGUUGCUCUGAUUAAGUCAACGGGGUUUCCCUUAGAAGUGAACCUUCUCUCUGAGGGUCCAGAACUCUGCCAGCUUCUUUUUUCAGCGGCGGAAGGUCUGUUUUUUCAGCGGCGGAAGGUCUGUAAGCAACGUCCCUUGUCAAACAAGGCGGAAUGAAAAGACCAUUGCGCUUGCUUCAGGGCGGGCUUCUUAUCAAACCCAAGCGCGCUUUUCAAAACCAAGCGCGCGAACACCUGUGUCAGGUGCCGUCCAGGGUGGACGAGCGAUCAGGCCAUAAAUGCCACGACUGCGCUAUAGGUCUGGCCCGCCCUUCUUAUAACCCCUUCCAACCAUCCUUAAUGCCCCCACAUGGGUCACAAGUUCACGUGACUGAACUCAGCAAUUACAAUUGCACGGGUCAACUAUAUAAAAGGAUACGUUUCUGAUUACCUGGUCGAUGUGGGACUAACAAAACAAGUCCGCACUUCACAUAUUAACGUGAAUCUGCUCUCUCUCUAAUCUGCGGACUGCCAUCAUUCCCGAGGCUAUCACUCUGGAACAUGUUGCAAAGGUAAUGCUCUUGUUCACUAUUUUGUCUUUUGUUUGUUCAUGCAUUGUUUCAGUGUAUUUUAUCUUUUUUGUAUUUGUUAUGCUGGAUAUAAUUUAACUUCCGUCAAUCUUCACAUUAAGAAGUAGCUUUGAACCAUCAAAGUAAUAAAUUCAAUAAAAUGUAGACAUUAUUUUAAGAUUUUUCAAGGGUCUGUUGGUAUUAUCUUGCAGGCAAUAAUAUGCUAGGAAAUGUGGGAUUGAAAUGUAUAGUCAAUAACCUUCAUGCAAGAGUAUAUCUAUUGUAGUUACUGUUCUCAGAAAUUUGAAGUGUUUACCCUAUUGGUACCAAGUUGUUUCGGUUAUUAGUUAUACUGACAUCCGAUUAAUGUCUAGGCAUUUGAAAAUUAAAAAAAGGCACCUAGAUUUGCUAGGCACCAGCCUAACCCGCCCAGACCCGCCUAGAUUAUGACUUACUUAGACAAAAAAUAGAUAACUUUCAUUUUGCAUUUUAUUUUUCUCAGUAAAUUGUAAGAGACUUGUUGAAUACUUAAAUGAACUCACAUUAUAUGCUUAUUCUCCAGUUUUUUCAUUAUGUUGCCAUACUUCAUAAUACAUAUGUUAUUCUAUUUUGGAGUUUAUGAUGAAAUUAUAUAUAUUUUAAGUAUAAAUUAUAAACAAACACUUAUUUACAUGAAAUAUAAUGGAUUUACUUAAAUUCGCCUAGUCUGCCUUGGCGCCCGCCUAAGCUCCGCCUAGGUGCUAGAUCCCAACCUGCCUAUAUAGCAUGUAACUUUGAAUUUGCAGAAUUUCUGAGAGGGGUUGAGAAGUAGUCUAAUCUAGGUGAAUUAUCUUUAGGCGGAUUUUUUUUACCUUGGGUAGAACAGGCUAUGCCUGCGUAUGUCUUGCCCUCCCUAAGCCCUGCCUUAGCGGAAGCCUAAUGCUCUGGGAUGUUUGUCAAGAUAGUUAAAAUGGUUGUCAAUUUAGUAGAGCUAUCUGAUUUUUUGCUGUAUUAUGAUGCAGAUACACGAGGCAGAAGGGUUUUGGACUUGUGACAGCUCGUUUGAAUGUGCUUUUAAAAUAAUUGAAAGCAUUUUCGGUAAAAAUAUUUUUACAACCAAUCUUUAGUAAAAAUGCAAGUAAAUUUAAAAAAAAACACUUAAUGUGUUUCCUAGAAGAAGCACAUAACUAGUGAUUCUUGCAUAAAACACUUUAAAUGCUUUUGGAACUCAAAAACAUUUUUUCUAAAAGUAUUUUUUAGUUAUUUUAAAGCACAUCAAAACGAGUCAUGAAUCUCUCACAAAAAGUGACAAUUUUCAUUGCAUUUAUAUUCUCAUUUGAAAUCCUUUGCUAUCUCUGCUAUUAGUUUGUUGAUGGGCAGCUUUCAUUUGCUUCUACUUUAAGCAAUGUGGUAUGCUAUCACAGCGUUGAUUCGUACGUAGUUUUAUGUGCUGACUUACAAUGUUUUUUAUAUUGUGUAAUCUAUACUAAUAUAAAAUGUCAAAAUAUAGCGGCUGGUUUUACAUCAUAUAUCUCUAAAGCCUUUGUAGUUAAAAUAAAAUUAACAAUACAUGGAGUAAUCUCAAACUUUGUGUGGUUGUGUGUGUGUUUGCAUCAUGGUCUAAAAUAUCCAUAAUAUCCCGAUAUUUCCAUCGAAAUUUCCGUAUUUUUGGACUAUCGAUAUUUCCGAUAUCAUCGAUAUUUUAGACCUUGCUAAGUCACUCAUGUAUCUUACCAUGCAAUGUAUAAAGUGUAAAAUAUUGUACUAAUUCAUUAUAUAUAAAUGAUUAUGGUGUGUUUAAACUUCUUUCAUUAAUUACUAUAUAUUUUCUACACUCACAAUGUUUGCCAGCUCGCUAUAUAAUCAACUUAAAUAAGUUAUAUCUAUCAUGCAAUGCAUUUCCUUCCAAUUUUUUGUGAUAAACUAAUAGAUAAUUGACUAAAUAAGCAUUUUGCAAAGUUUCAAUAAAAAAUUUCAAGUUUUGCUUACAAUUUAUGUGGUUUUUGUUCAAUUUUUAUCGAUAUCGAUAAUAUUCCCAUCGAAAUUUCCGUGUUUUUAGACUACCGAUAUUUCCGAUAUCAUCGAUAUUUUAUAUAUUGGUUUGCGCACUUGUAUUUUAAAGGAUCUCUAACUUGGUUUGCAAACUAGUUGUGACAACUGAAACCCUGUGAACCUACGGAAUGGGCUUUAAUCAUGUCUUUUUUCCUACUAUAUUUUUUGAGGGUUUGGUCACAUGCUCUUAAUUAUUUAAUAUUUUCAAGUCUCCAUAUUUUAUUUAAGAAGUCUAUGUUGGUUUUGAAUAGUAGGCUGAUAAAACUGAAACAGAGUUAUUACUUUUAGAGAACUUUAACGAAAAAUUCUUCGCAUUUGGAUUCGUGUGUUUAAAAGAUAUGAUAGAGUUGUAUGUGUACUUUUCUGACAACAAAAACCUUUGAUUCUUCUUGUCUGCUUGCUAUUAUGCACAAGGUUGUUUAGUUUUGACCUGGCGUCCUAACUGGAAUAUGUUUGCAAGUUUAUUUGAUUUCUUUAAUGGACAAACUAGAGUGCUUAUGUUACCUUUAUUUAACUGAUUUAAGUAUAAUAUAUGGAAAUGGUACGUCUGAAAAGAAACAUGUUUGAUUUGGCAGUUAACAUGUUUGAUAACAUAUGUUAGUUAUAUAAACAAUUGCCGUUCUGAUUAGUUAAAUAAACAAUUUACAUAUUCCCUCUGUCUUAUGGUUUGGCAUGGUAAAAUUGGUUGCAAAUAUUGUAGUUACUUCUGCCAAUAUCUGUCAUGGUUUUGCUUUCUGCAUGUUUAGAAAGCAUUACUAUAAUUAUCUUUUGUUAAACAUGCGUUGUUUUCUAUGUUAUUUGGUUAGUGGCAAGGACCUCCAUUAAGAAAGAAAAGAAACUGAAUAGUCUUACUGAUUUUAUAACUAUACUCUGAAUUUAACUUUGUGUACAAUAAUUCUUUGACCUGCUUGUAUACUUCCUUUGCAAAGCAACUCCCUGGGAUUAGUUCGAGAUAUUUUUAUGACGUGAUUGUAACAUCCCACAUCGUCCAAGGGAAUUGAUCCUCUAUGCCUUAUAUAUACAUGCUCACCUCUAAUUAGCACGAGGUUUUUUGGGAGCUCACUGAUUUCAUAUUCAAUCGGAACUCCGAGGUUAAGCGAGUUCGCACGAGAGCAAUCCCAAGAUGGGUGACUCAUUGGGAAGUUCUCAUGUGAGUUCCCAGAAACAAUACCGUGAGGGCAUGCUCGGGGCCCAAAACGAACAAUAUCGUGCUAUGGCGGAGUCGAGCUCAGAAUAUGGUGGAGCGGGGUCAGGAUGCGACAGUGAUCACUCUGUUGCUUUUAUUGCAUCAAUAGCAUCUAUUGGAUGUUGGAGUAUCAUGGCAUGUGAACCAGCUAUCAUGAAAAGGCAUUUUCCCCUCUCAAAAUCUUUUCUGACUUGAGUUCACCAUCAUUGCGUUUGUUCUCUGUGUGUUUUGAGCACCUCUUUGUGCUUGUUUUUCUUUUGAUUUUGUUUGUGUUGAUUGGUAGCGUCCUUAAAAAUAUGCUAACAUAGUAACAUAUCUGUUUUUAUUUUCAAACAGAGCGUUGCUUAUGACAGAUCGAGUGCUCCUAAGGACUGCAGGAUCUCUGGGUGGCUGCGAGGACGGGAUGAUCCAGAAGUCCAUAUAGAAAUUCGCCUGGCUGAAUUUACUUAUGACCUUGAGAAAAGCAAUGCACAGACAUUCAAUGUCUUGGACUCGGCAGUGUCUGGCCUUGUCGACACAGUGAGGUUGGACUUCACAUCCAACCAUGGAAGCCCUUCUCAUACUUGCAUAUAUAGAUUCAGAGUGCACGGACAUGAACCGAACGCCGUUUCUACGAUGGCCAUGCAGCAGUAGCGUCAGUGCCAUUCCAUACCAUACUUGUGCAGAAGCAUUCUCGGGCCACGUCUGUAUUAAGUAUGAAUUCAUUUUUUUCUCCUUUUAAUUUGUAACUUGGUAGGUCGAGAUCUUGUGGUAUGUUUCUAGAGUUCUCGAUAUCGUGUAUCGUCUCUUUGACAUUUUUGUGUUAUCUAGUAAUUGUGUAUCCAUGUAUUGCUAGUUGCAGUGACGAAUCCAGGAAAUAAUAUUAGGGGUUAGUAAGAAUAGUGCGUGCAACGCGAAAUUUUUUUUAUACUAGAAAUAGCAUGCAUAUUGUCAUUUCAUCGAGUCUUGGUAAGCCUGAAGUCAUUUGAAAAUGCAUACUACAGACAUGUUAAUGUAAGCAAGGGGCAGCACCCAAGGUAUUCAUGGACAUUUAUCAGGUUUUGGUAGGCCUGAAGUCGGUUGGAGGGCAAGUAUGAAGCCAACUCUAAUCUUCAAAAAGGCAACACUCAAGGUAUCCAUGGACAUUCACCGAAGUUCGGAGGAUCAACACUUAGGUGUCUAUGGACGUUCAUCGAAGUUCAGAGGGUCAGCUGACCCCCUUGCCCCUUAAUGGAUCCGCCAGUGGCUAGUUGUAUGUCAUUCUCUCUGUGUUUCCCUCUCUAUGCGCGCCCAGUAAUGAAAUCAGGCAAGGUUACAGGUAAAGAAACAGAGAAUUUUCUAAAUUUCGAAGUAUUAUUAUGGUUUGCCAUUGAUGUGAAAGAGUACUUGACCUUGGACCUCACGAAGGCGGUUCCUCCCCCUAUGGAGGAGAUUCUUCACUUUCGGGGCUGGGCGCUCCCUCGAACUGAUAUGUUUUAGUUUUCGUCUUGGUGACAAAAAUUUACUUUAGAAAUUUAAUGGUACUCUUUCUCUUUUGCACGCAAUCGAAAUCCCAUCAAAGUUUUCACGAGAUCAUAUGUAAACACUCUACCCUCUUUCAUUAUCAAAACCCUAAAUAAAAUAAAAAAAUCCAUUGAUUUCUUUCAUUCAUUUGCUAAAAUGUUUCACUUAUUUCAAGCUCUUUUAUGUAAAACUUGGGGAAAUGGAUACGCAAACCAAAUACAUGAGCAUUUAAAAGAGGAUAUAUAGAGUAACUUUUGAACUGUUCAUCAUAAGAUGAAUUUUGUGAUUUUGUAAAUAAUGAACUGACUAAUUUAAGUUCCUCGUGUUUUGUUGCUCCAAUAUUUUUAUUAAAGGAUGCUACAAUUCACAACCUCGAAUUCGAAGGAUUUACAUAAAUCUUUUUUUCUUGUAGACAUUGGGAAACUAUAAGCAGACGUGUACACACAGACAGGAUAAAAGCAUAUCCAACAGCCUAGUUAAAUGAGGUUUUUUGGCUACUUUAACAAAAACAAAAAAAUGCAAAAAAACAAUAAGCUUCAACAGGCUAGCUAAAUGACUAGCUUAUCUUAUUCGUCGAGAUAUGCUUCUCCUGCUGGGCAUUUAAAAGUAAGAGAUUAUUUGGUUGCUAAUUUGUGAUUUCACUUAAUACACCUAGCUCAGAGAAAAAUCCAAGUUAUUACAAAGGUCACUAUAUUUAGAUAUAUUCGUUGAUAUGCGUUCUCAUCUAUGUAUUUUUUCUCCUUUACGGGCUGUCAAAGUCCCAUCGAAGUUUUAAUGAGACCACGUAUAAACACUCUACCCUCUUUCAUUUUGAAACCCUAGAUAAAUAAAUAAAUUCAUUGAAUUACAAUACAACGUUCGACGACCAAUUUCUAGUUCUUCAAUAGUAUUUAGUUUUUAUUUUUUCUUUUUAAGUUUUUAAAUUUUUUUUAACUUUAAAUGAGGGUGGAAUUGGACUUCAAGGAGUUAAAAAUUAAUAAUAAUCUCCGUAUGUUUUUGUUUUAUUUCAUUGACUUGCUAAAAAGUUUCAUUUAUCUCAAGGCCUUCGAUAUAAAACUUGGAGGAAAUGAAUACCCAAACUAAAUACACACGACUGAAAAAAUUGGUAUGAAAUAUAAAAGAACUCACGAUCGCUUAAGAACUUUUUAGCGUGUAAAUAAAAUGACAAUGAAGCCUACUAAUAUAUGAAGCUUAUAGGAUGUAGAAAAGAAAAAGAAAAAUUAUAAACGUCAAAAUAAAUAGAAUAUAUGAUAAUAAUGGUAAACUAUAAUUGCUGCUUAAAAUAUUUUGGUGGGUGAAAGCAAAUGUGUUUCUACACUAGAAAUGGAAUUGUGAGCCCUUUCAUGUUCAUCUUAAGAUGAAUUUUGUAGCUGAUAAAUUGACUAAUUUGAGUUCACUGCAUUCUGUUAGUCCAAUAUUUCGAUCUAACUCUCAUCUUCUGUCAUCAUCCCUUAGUUUCAAACAUUGCUAAAUCUCUAAACCUCGUGACGUUUUAUUGUAAUUUCUCUUUGUUGAGUGUUUGAAAAAAAAAAAUUUAAAACGGGGGGGACCUACGGUGGUAAGAGCAAAAGAGAUGGAGGUUGGGUUUGGAGAAGGGUUGGCCGGGGGGGGGGGGACCUAUAUGGUGGUAAGAGCCCCCCGUUGCUCUGAUAAAGUCAGCGGGGUUUCUUCUCAGAGUGACCUCCGAGGUACUAAACAUCCCUUUACAAGGCGGAAUGAAGACAGACAGCGGCAGCCGGAAGAAUUUGCUCGUCGGCGGCCAGGAACAUCGCGCUUCAGGGCGGGCUUCUUAUCAACCACGCGCGCGUACACCUGUGUCAGGUAAUUGACUUAGGUGCGCGUAGGUUUUGGUUCGACCCACUCCUUAAUGCCCCCACUUGGGUCACAAGUUUACGUGACUGAACUCGGCAAAUCGAUGUGGGACUAAGAAAACAAGUCCACACUUCACAUAUUAACGUGAAUCUCUCUCCUCUAUCUGCUCUCUCAUCUCUCUCGUUCUCUUUCUCUCUAAUCUCCCUCCUUUCCGAUCCUCUUUUUGAAACCGUUGCUUAAAUAUAUGCUGACUUAUCUGUUUUUGUUUUCAAACAGAGCGUUGCUUAUGACAAAUCGAGUGCUCAUAAGGACUGCAGGAUCUCUGGGUGGCUGCGAAGACGGGAUGAUCCAGAAGUCUAUACAGUGAUUCGCCUGGCUGAAUUUACUUAUGACCUUGAGAAAAGCAAUGCACAGACAUUCAAUGUCUUGGACCCGGCAGUGUCUGGCCUUGUCGACACAGUGAGGUUGGGCUUCACAUCCAACCAUGGAAGCCCUUCUCAUACUUGCAUAUAUCGAUUGAGAGUGCACGGACAUGAACCGAACGUCGUUUCUAUGAUGGCCAUGCAACAGUAGCGUCAGUGCCAUUCCAUACCAUACUCGUGCAGAGGCAUCUCGGGCCACGUCUGUUUUAAGUAUGAAUUCAUUUUUUCUCCUUUUAAUUUGUAACUUGGUAGGUAGAGAUCUUGUGGUAUGUUUCUCGAGUUCUCGAUAUCGUGUUUGUCUCUUUGACAUUUUAGUGUUAUCCGGUAAUUGUGUAUCCACGUAUUGUUAGGUGUAUGUCAUUUUCCCUUUCUUUUCCUCUCUAUGCGCUCAGUAAUGAAAUCAGGCACAGGUUACAGGUAUAGAAACAGAGAAUUUUCCAAAUUUCGAGGAGACAAAAAUUUACUUUAGAAAUUUAAUGGUACUCUUUUUCUUUCACAUAUGGUCAAAAUUCCAUCAAAAUUUUCACGAGAUCACAUGUAAACAUUCUACUCUCUUUCAUUAUCAAAACCCUAAAUAAAUAAAUAAAAUCCAUUGAUUUACGAUACAAGGUUGAUUGACAAUAUCUAAGUCUUCUAAUAAUCUCAGUAUGUUUUUGUUUUCUUUCAUUCAUUUGCAAAAUGUUUCACUUAUCUCAAGCUCUUUUAUGUAAAACUUGGGGAAAUGGAUACCCAAACUAAAUACAUGAGUAUUUAAAAGAGGUUAUUAAAUAAAAGGGAUAUUUUGGAUGCAGCCCCUAAUCCUUAACAUUCUUUGAUUAAAAAUAUUCAAAGUUUGAUCAAGGUCCCUUGACUUUGUACACCUCAUUAUAUCACUAUUAAUAUUUAUAGUUUUAUAGUUUUUACAUUAAUUGUUUGAUAUUUUAUGAGAUUUUAAAAUCCCUCAUUAUAAUACUAUUAGAAAUGGUUACAAUAAAAAAAUUCAAACAUUUUGAUUGAAUAAAUGGAUAAAAACUAUAAAAAUAAUAAAUGGAAAAAUAAUGUAUCCAUAGUGUUAAAAAAAUUGGUACAUUUUACAAACAAAUUGGUACAUUUCUCAUAUAACAAAGUGGUACAUUAAUAAAGAAGAAUGGGUACAUUAGAAAUAAAUUAGGGUACAAAUAAAAUAUUAAAAAUUAUGAAUACAAAUGAAUUUUUAAAAAUAUAGGCUCUAAAAGAAAUUAAUACAUGGGUACAAAAUGAAACUAAAAAGAAAAUACUACAAAUUUUAAAAAAAAAUGUUGCAAAUUAAAAGUGGGUACAAACUAAAAAUAUAAAUACAUGAUACAAAGUUUAGGCAUAAAACAUAAAUAUACCAUAUGUAAUUUUUCUAUCAUUGAUUAAAUGUCACGUGAUAGUAUACACAUGGGUACAAACACAAAUAAAACUUUAAAAAAUAUGGGCACAAAAAGAAACUAAUAUAUGGGUACAAAUUAAAAAUGAAAAGAAAAUUGGCACAAAUUUAAAAAUAUUUGCAAAUUAAAAAUAGGUACAAACUAAAAAUAAAAAUAUAUGAUAAAAAAUUUAGCCAUAAAUAUAAAUAUACUAAUUGUAACAUUUUUAUCAUUAAAGGAAUAUAUUUAAAAAUAAAAAUAUUUUAUUAUUCAAAUAAUUAAUGAUGUUAUUAAUACCCAAGGACAUUGAUCAAAAAUUGAAAAUAAAUAGGAUUUUAAUCAAUGGAGUAACAAAAAGAAAGAUGUGAACCUAAUUUUCCGUAAUGGUAAACUAUAACUGCUGCUUAAAAUAUUAGGAAAACUAAUGAAAAAGGCUUGAAAACUUUGAGUUUUAACGAUAAGGACAAAAUAAAGGGUAAAGUGAAUAGUACCAUGUGUUGACUUUUUAGUGUAAAAAUAUGGUUUUUCGUUAAAGUGAACAGUACCGCAGGCUUUUCGUUAAAACUCCCUAAAAUAUUUUGGUGGGUGAAAUCGAAUGUGUUUCUACACUAGAAAUGGAAUUGUGAGCUCUUUCAUGUUCAUCAUAAGUUGAAUCCUAGAGCAGAUGAAUUGACUAAUUUGAGUUCACUGCAUUUUUGUUAGUCGAAUAUUUGUAUCGAACUCUUUAUCUUUUGUUGUCGUCCCUUAAUUUCCAGUAACCUCGUGAUGUUUUAUUGCAUUUUCUCUUUGUUGGGUGUUUAGUCCUGUUAUCUUUUUUAACUUGUUUUGGCGAGGUUAUUCAUCGCGCGAAUAAACAUCUUAUUAUGAUAAUUUGAGAUUUUUCGUUGUGAAAAAAAAAAAAAAAAGAUGGAGGUAGGGGUCAAAGAGGGGGUACCAACGGGGUAAGAGCCCCCCGUUGCUCUGAUUUAGUCAACGGGGUUUUCCCUCUGCCAGCUUUUUUUUUUUUUUUUAAGCGGUGGAAGGACUGAUAUCUUUUUUAACUUGUUUUGGCGAGGUUAUUCAUCGCGCGAAUAAACAUCUUAUUAUGAUAAUUUGAGAUUUUUCGUUGUGAAAAAAAAAAAAAAAAAAAAAUGGAGGUAGGGGUCAAAGAGGGGGUACCAACGGGGUAAGAGCCCCCCGUUGCUCUGAUUUAGUCAACGGGGUUUUCCCUCUGCCAGCUUUUUUUUUAUUUUUUUAAGCGGUGGAAGGACUGAUCAACGUCCCUUUAACAAGGCGGAAUGAAGACAGUUAUUAGCCGGCCAACCGGCCCAUAACAAACAUCGCGCUUCAGGGCGGGCUUCUUAUCAACCGCGCGCGCCACCACCUGAGACAGAUGUGCCGUCCAAGGUGGACGAUCGACAAACGCCUACAUAUCGAGUAGGGUUGAUUGCCUCGGGUGCAUGAUUGGUUUGACCCGCUCUUCUUAAAACCCCUCCCAACCAUCCUUAAUGCCCCCACAUGGGUCACAAGUUCACGUGACUAAACUCGGCAAUUACAAUCGCACGGGUCAACUAUAUAAACGGAUAAGUUUCUGAUUACCUGGUCGAUGUGGGACUAACAAAACAAGUCCACACUUCACAUAUUAACGUGAAUCUCUCCUCUUAUCUCCUCUCUCUCUAAUCUCCCUCUUUUCUGACCCUCUUUUUGAAUAUCUUUGUUUGUCCAAUCAAAUUUUAUAGUAAUUACUGAAUCGACUUGAGAGUUACUAUAGAAUUUUUCUUCUUUUUAGUUAUUAAAAUAUAAAAAUAAUUUAAAUCACAUAUGAUAAUUUUAUGAUGUGGGAAGAUUGAUUCCGAACAUUACUUUUGAGUCUCAUCAUGUCCAUCAUAUUUGCAACAUACUCAGCAAACAUUUACUAAAUAACCUUAUCUUAAAAUAAUUUAAUAAAUCCUCAUCACACCCAUAUAUCCAUUCAUAAAAGGCACAAGGAAGACCACAUAUUUAUAUGGUAUAUCAGUGCAUCAUUUAACGUGGCAAAUGAUGUAUAUAAUCAACAUUUAAUGAGAUAAGUUCAGUAAUUGGUGUGGCAUAUACACAUAAUUUGUCACAUCAGAUAGUAUGCAAAUAUGGUACCAACAUGUGGCCUCUCUAGCAUUUUCCUAUUUUUCUAAUACAUACGAUAUUAUCUACAUAAAAAAAAUGAAAAAUGAGCUAAGCCUUACAAUAUAAGGGCAAUGGACAUUGCUUUUGGUACCUGUAUGCAUAAUUAUCUUCUUCCCAAAACCAAUACCUAGCAUUUUAUGGUUACACUGUCGACAACCAAAAGCAAGUUGAAUAGUUUUGGUUGGAAAUUUUUGUUCCGUCCAAUUUCAGUCUAAAAAGUUUCAGUUUUACACACAGUAUAAAAAUUUUAAACAUCUUAUUAAUCCCGAUUAUCUGGCAAACAUAUUCUCCGCAUCAUCAUGAUAAAACAUCUAAUUAAUAAUCCGGUUAUUCCAACAAACCUAUUUUCAUAUCAUUGCGAUAGAACAUCUUAUUAAUAAUCCGAUUAUUCCAAUAAACCCAUGUUCAGAUUAUCACGAUUAACAUCUAACUAAGAAUCACGAGUAAAUAUUUAAUUAAUAAUCACAAUAAAACAUCUAAAUAAACCCAUUUUCAAAUAAUCACUUUUUGUUGGUCCAAUAUUUUGAUCCAACUCUUAAUUUUAUUUUGUCAUCUAUUAGUUGCAAACGAUGCUAGAACUCAUGAUGUUUUGUUGCAACUUCUCUUUAUUGGGUGUUUAGUGCCGUUAGCUUUUUUAAUCUUGUUUUGGCAGGAUAUUCUAACGACCAAAACCUUAAAUUUCUAAAUCCAAAGAUGAGCAUCAUUUGGUACUACGAUUUAGUAGUAUUUCUCUUAAGUGAGAGGGCUUAAGUUCGACUUUUGUCAAAUGUCAAUUUAAAGCACAUUAUUGCUAGUUUAUUGUGAGGUUAAACACAUCCUUCUCUUAGCAUAAGCAAUAUUGUUUGUUAAAACGAGAGACAAGAAACAUAAAACGCAAUGAAAUGCCUCGAAGAGGAGCAGGUUUGAAGUCUUCUUCAGAGUGUCAAAAGUUGGACCAGGAUGUUAACCCCUUCAUUUUUCUUCGCACCCAUUUUUAUAUCAUCACGAAUAGACAUCUAAUUAAUCUAUAAUAAUUAAUAAUCUUUUCUUUAAAAAAAAAAAAUGGAGGUCGGGGGUUGAAGAGCGGGACCUAGGGUGGUAAGAGCCCCAUUGCUCUGAUAAGCCAACGGUAUUUCUCAGAGAGAUUCUGAGUAAGCCAAGAAUUAGUCCACAAGGACUGUAAGUAACAGCUUUGUUACAAAGGUCAAGAAGUUCAAACAAGGUGGGAUCAUUUACCACGCGCAAGCGCCGCGUCAGGUAUGAUCCCCCUAAAAGAACAGGAAAACUAAUGAAAAAUGUUUGAAAACUUUAGAUUUUAAAGAAUAAAGAUAAAAUAAAGGGUAAAAUGAAUAGUACCAGGAUUGACUUUUUAGUGUAAAAAUAUGGUUUUUCGUUAAAAUGAAUAAUACUGGGAACUUUUCGUUAAAGUUCCCCUAAAAGAACACGUGCUAACUUUCUCUUUAACCCCUCCAUAGACCAUCCUUAAUGCCCCCACUUGGGUCACAAGUUCACG
RNAcentral lists this long non-coding RNA (12601 nucleotides) under Malus domestica (apple). RNAcentral's name for it is "long non-coding RNA (MDOM_LNC006499)". Lineage: Eukaryota; Viridiplantae; Streptophyta; Magnoliopsida; Rosales; Rosaceae. The record is from RNAcentral.